CAAUAGCGUAUAUUAAAGUUGUUGCAGUUAAAAAGCUCGUAGUUGGAUUUCUGGUGGGAGCGAUCGGUCUGGCGCUUAGCGCGAGUACUUGCAUCGUCUCCGGCCAUCCUUGGGGAGAGUCUGUCUGGCAUUAGGUUGUCGGGCAGAGGAUCCUCAUCGUUUACUGUGAAAAAAUUAGAGUGUUCAAAGCAGGCUUAUGCCGUUGAAUAUAUUAGCAUGGAAUAAUAAGAUAGGACUUUGGUACUAUUUUGUUGUUUUGCGCACCAAAGUAAUGAUUAAUAGGGACAGUUGGGGGUAUUCGUAUUCCGUUGUCAGAGGUGAAAUUCUUGGAUUUACGGAAGACGAACUACUGCGAAAGCAUUUACCAAGGAUGUUUUCAUUAA
RNAcentral lists this ribosomal RNA (383 nucleotides) under uncultured eukaryote. RNAcentral describes it as "partial 18S ribosomal RNA". It matches the Rfam family "Eukaryotic small subunit ribosomal RNA", at positions 592 to 976 of the family's 1831-position model. The record is from RNAcentral.